CAGUCGCCACGGUAAUACAGAGGGUGCGAGCGUUAAUCGGAUUUACUGGGCGUAAAGCGUGCGUAGGCGGCUUUUUAAGUCGGAUGUGAAAUCCCUGAGCUUAACUUAGGAAUUGCAUUCGAUACUGGGAAGCUAGAGUAUGGGAGAGGAUGGUAGAAUUCCAGGUGUAGCGGUGAAAUGCGUAGAGAUCUGGAGGAAUACCGAUGGCGAAGGCAGCCAUCUGGCCUAAUACUGACGCUGAGGUACGAAAGCAUGGGGAGCAAACAGGAUUAGAGACCCCCGUAGUCCCUGUCUCUUAUAA
Molecule: ribosomal RNA, 301 nt
Filed under: uncultured bacterium
Lineage: Bacteria
Description: partial 16S ribosomal RNA
Rfam family: Bacterial small subunit ribosomal RNA
Source: RNAcentral